Regulatory RNA element from Lachnoclostridium sp. An131, 98 nucleotides. It matches the Rfam family "THF (Tetrahydrofolate) riboswitch aptamer". Rfam says of the family: THF riboswitch presents a pseudoknot that joins P1-P2 and the loop of P3 and two THF binding. Lineage: Bacteria; Bacillati; Bacillota; Clostridia; Lachnospirales; Lachnospiraceae. The record is from Rfam.
UGCAAAAUAGGUUUUCAUGCGUCAAGUGUUCGGUGGAUGGGGAGUUGCCGCCGAAACGAAAAGCUAAGUCUUACGAUAUGGAGACCGCACCCGUUGCA